This is a long non-coding RNA of Megalobrama amblycephala (Wuchang bream), 3020 nucleotides long. RefSeq lists it as uncharacterized. Lineage: Eukaryota; Metazoa; Chordata; Actinopteri; Cypriniformes; Xenocyprididae. The transcript is spliced from 2 exons. The record is from RefSeq and is a predicted model, not a curated record.
CCAACGAAAGUGCAAACAAGUUUAAAGAGAUUGAAUCAAUUUUGAGCGAGAUUAUUAAAUGAUCAGCUGGCAUCUCGGCUUUGUUGCUUGAAACAAUUAAGUCUAUUCUUUUGACACCUGGAAGUCCUGAAUUUCUUCAGAGACUAAGAUUGACUUCUGCCACCACAAGCCAGCACUGGUGAAGAACUGAAAUCUUCUAUGCUCGUCUUGUGAGAACUCUAGGCCCCUCUUUCAUCUCGGAGACAAAAGAAAAAAUGGCGCCAUAUUUGCCACAGAUCUGGCUCAUAUGUAACAGGAUUUUAUCUACACUUCAAUACAAGUUUCAGGAUGGAAGUUCACUUAUGUAACACAAACGUCAUAUAAGGACACUUUUACUGGAACAGAAGACGUUCGGAUGAGAGAUACAAAAAAAUGGAGCACGUGUUUGCGACAAUCACUGCCGUCCUAUAUUCCAGUAAUGAUCGUGUCUGCCGCUGACUACAGGAAGGAUAAUACUUAACAAACUUCAAAGUUAUUUAAUGACUCAUAAGAGGAUGAUUCAUUUCUGCUGUUUCCAGCAAACUUGAAGAAAGAUCCCAUAUCAACAUUUUUAAGGGUGCUGACAGCUGAGUUAAUCUCAGAUUAGGGUCUAUGGUUGCUGGUGUCAUAAAUCAUAUGACUUUGCAAGCUAGUCACUUCAUAUGUUCUUAUACUUGAGAAUGUGUAGGAUAUGGCAUAGCAGGACUGGGCAUCAUGAAUCAUCAUGAUAUGCAGAAAAAAAAGCACUGGGUAACUUCAGGCAGUUUGAAAUGGACCUCGGACUGGGCUACUCUACUGGAAAACAGUCAUAUAUCUCACAUGACUACAGAUCUAAAGAAAAAUCACGUCAAACAAAAACACAAAUGACAAGGAGAAUGUGUCAUCUGCUGGCAGUGCAUAAUCUGAUUAUGUGGUAAAAGAUGUUUGAGGAGAAUAAAGACUAUACUUACAACAAGGAUGAACUUAUCAUAGCUCAUUUUACAUCCUACAAACAAACAGAAGACAUCUUGUAACUUACAAGUCAUCUUCUCGUUUUUUGUAGUAUGUAAUAUGAGCGUUGGUAAGUUCUUCCUGGCACAUACAGCUCUGUCACGUUUUGUGUUUUUCUAUUCAUGUUUGAGUCUUGUAAUUAGAUUUCAUUGUGUUCAGCUCUUGUUUGCCUAUGUUCCCAUUACUUUGACCCAGUGUGUUUCAUUGAUUGAUCCAUUUCACCUGCUGUCUCCUUGUUAGUUCUCAUGUGUUUGAUCGUGUUACCUGUGUCCAGUGCUGCCAAUUUAGCAAUUUGCGGCUAGAUUUAGCGACUUCCCUGCCCCCUUUUGAGGCUUUUUUCAGAAGCCUAGUGACAAAUCUAGCAAUUUCUUGGACAAACCUUAUCUAGAUUCUGUGACUCGCCCACUGAUCAACAUUUAUAUUAAUAUAGAUCAGUGGACUCGCCAGUAUGACAUCAUCUAGCGACAUUUAGCAACCAGUUUUAGCUACUUUCAUCUAAAAGCAAUUGGCAACACUGCCUGUGUCUGCAACUAACGGUGACAGAAGAACUGACCAAGAACCAUGGAUCUAGCAGCAGUAAGAAUCCUCCUCCUCUCGCAGGGGAACCAGUCCCUCGAGAGACACACACACAGGCCGUUAUAGUUUUGCAACAUCUUGUCCAUUAUGAUGACGUCAGCCUGUGUGUGUUUUUCUAGGCAGGCCUCAACAUAGAGACCAGAGCGCGUGGUCUGGGUACUCCUCUGCAAUGGUUCCCCUUUUACCAUCAGCGAGAGCGAGAAGGAAACCAGCAUGUCUGCCAAGUCUGAGUCUCUUCACGUCCUGCCUGACAAGCCAGAACCUGUUCACAUCAUGGCCGCUAUUCCAGAGUCAUGUCCCAUCAUGGCCGCCAUGCCUGAGCCUGUUUUUGUGAGAGGAUUUCCUGAGCCUGUUUCUGUGAGAAUUUCCUAAGCCUCUUUCCAUGAGAGAAUUUCCUAAAUCCAUUCCCGUGAAAGAAGUUUCCAAGCGCGUUCCUGUGAAUGAAAUCCCAGAGCCUGUUCCUGCCCUUGAGUCGGUAAAUGAAGCGCUGACCAUUAUGGCCACAGCUGUGUUGUGUGUGGGGGCUACACACACAUGGGCUCCAGCCCCUGACUAUCAUCCCAUGAAGGCUCCAGCCCCUGAUUAUCGUCCCAUGAAGGCUUUUGUCCCAGAGAGGUCUCCAGUCCCCAUCCUGAGUCCAGAGAGGGCUCCAUUCCCAGUCCAGAGAGGACUUAAGUCCCUUGUCCAGUGUCCAGAGAUGGCUCAAGCCCAAAAGCCCAUUCCAGAGUCUGCUCCAACACAAGAGCCCGCUCCAGUUCACAACCUCCCAAGAAAAUCUUGAGGGGGUGCUAUAUGUCCUCGGCCGUAGAGGCCAAGCCAAGCCCCUGGGUCAAGGCCACGGAGGCCGAUCCUUCCAGGACCCCUGAACUGCCAGCUCCGCCCGGGCCCCCUGAACUGCCGGCUCCGUUCUGGCCCCCUGAGCUGCCUGCACUGCCAUGGCCAUCUGAAUUGCUGGUGCCACCAUGGUCCCCUGUACUGCCGAUGCCGCUGUGGUGGCCCCUUGUCAGCCUCCAGGUCACACACCCUCCCACCCGUUGAUGUAUUACGGCGAGAGGACACACCUUUCGGGAGGGCGGGGUACUGUCACAUUUUGUGUUUUUCUAUUCAAGUUUGAGUCUUGUAAUUAGUUUUCAUUGUGUUCAGUUCAUGUUUGCCUGUAUUCACGUUACUUUGACCCAGUUUCCCCAGUGUUGAUCGAUCCGUUUUACCUGCUGUCUCAUUAGUUAUCAUGUUUGAUUCUGUUAUCCCUGCGUCUUGUUAAUCAUCCCAUUAGUUCCUCUGUUUGCUGUCUUUUUAAGCCAUGUGUUUCAGUCUGUUUUUGGUCAGUUCUCCAUUGCAUUAUGUUGGUUGAUCUGUUCCUGAGCCAAGUUCCUGUUCACUGUUUCUGUAAUUGUAAAGAUUUUGAGUUUGUUUAAUAAAGGACUGUUGCACUUAGA